RNAcentral lists this long non-coding RNA (2220 nucleotides) under Sus scrofa (pig). Its description in RNAcentral is "lncRNA (ENSSSCG00040052037.1)". The record is from RNAcentral. Lineage: Eukaryota; Metazoa; Chordata; Mammalia; Artiodactyla; Suidae.
CCAUUAUAGUUGAAUUACAGUAUUCUGUCCAUUUCUACUGUACAGCAAAGUGACCCAGUCGUACACACAUAUAUAUAUAUUCUUUUUUUCACAUUAUCCUCCCCAUCAUGUUCCAUCACAAGUGACUAGGUAUAGUUCCCUGUGCUAUAUAACAGGAUCUCAUUGCUUAUCCACUCUAAAUGUAAUAGUUUACAUCUAUUAAACUCAAACUCCCAGUCCGUCCCACUCCCUCCCCCUCUACCUUAGCAAACACAGGUCUAUUCUCCAAGUCUAUGAGUUUCUCUUCUGUGGAAAGGUUCAUUUGUGCUGUAUAUUAGAUUCCAGAUAUAAGUGGUAUCAUAUGGUAUUUGUCUUUCUCUUUCUGACUUACUUCACUAAGUAAGAGAGUCUCUAGUUCCAUCCAUGUUGCUGCAAAUGACAUUACUUUGUUCUUUUUUAUGGCUAAGUACUACUCCAUUGUGUAUAUAUAUAUAUCUUCUUAAUUCAGUCAUCUAUUGAUGGACAUUUAGAUUGUCUCCAUGUCUUGGCUAUUGUGAACAGUGCUGCAAUGAACAUAUGGGUGCAUGUUCUUUUUAAAAUGAAAGUUUUGUCUGUAUAUAUGCCCAGGAAUGGGAUUGUUGGAUCAGAGGUACCUCAAUACUGUUUUCCAUAGUGGUUGUACCAAUUUAUAUUCCCACCAACAGUGUUGGAGGGUUACCUUUUCUCCACACACUCUACAGCAUUUUUCAUUUGUUGACUUUUUAAUGAUGGCCAUUCUGACAGGUGUGAGGCGUACCUCAUUGAAAUUUUGAUUUACAUUCCUCUAGUAAGUAGUGAUGUUGAAUACUUUUUCAUGUGUCUGUUGGCCAUCUGUAUAUCUUCUUUGGAGAAAUGUCUAUUCAGGUCUACUGCACAUUUUUCAAUUUGGUUGCUGGUUUUUUUUGCUGUUGAGUUAUAUAAGUUAUUUGCAUAUUUUAAAGAUUAAGCCUUUGUCAGUUGCAUCAUUUGAAACUAUUUUCUCCCAUUUCGUAGGUUUUAUUUUUGGUUUUUUUAUGGUUUCCUUUGUGGUGCAAAAGCUUGUCAUUUUGAUUAGGUCCCAUUGGUUUAUUUUUGCUUUUAUUUCUGCUGCCUUGGAAGACUGACCUAAGAAAAUAUUUGUACAGUUGAUGUUGGAGAAUGUUUUUCCUAUGUUCUCUUCUAGGAGUUUGACGGUAUCUUGCCUCAUGUUAAGUCUUUAACUGAAUAGGGAUAUUUAAAUGGGCAUCAGGUAGUGGAAAAUUGGUAAUGUUUUGUUAAUAUGGCAUUAAUUCUGCUGGUAUCGUGGCUUGAAUUUCACAAAGAAAAGUGAUUGCUUAGAAGAUUUUAAUUUUUCAUCUUUUUUUAAAAACCAAAAACCCAGAAGAAAAUCAAUAAGAUAGCACUGAGCAAGGUUUAACUCCAUUACACUUUGGAAUUUAAAUUGAACUUGUGUGCCCCAUAGUCAAUUAAAGAUACUUUUCUCCGAACUCUCCUGACAAGACAUUUCCAAAGAGCUUAAGAUGUAUUUAUUCGCUUUGUAGAGAUCUGAAAACUGGCUCUGAAAGAAAAAAAAUGUCAUGAAUGCUACUGCGAAUGUUUUUAACUUUUAGAGUUAUCCCAUGAGAGACUAGGCAUAAUUGAGUUAGAAAAGACACACAGACAGCUGGGCCAGGACUUGCUCCUGAGGCAAAAAUAAACUCAUUAAAGGUUAAACUCUGUGCAGCGUCUUUAAGACCAAGCCGUGAAGCAGAGCCGCAGCACUGAAUGGGACCAUCACAGUAAUCUCAUCUGAGAUAAGGCCUCCUGUGCAGAGCUGGGCUCAGAAUUCUCCCACGAGAGACUGCAGGGUGUAUUCAGUCAUGUCUCACUGAAUCCACUCUAUUUGCAAGAGUGAGUCACAGAAUUGUUAUUUAUGCUGAAAAGAGAUCAUUAUUUUCUAACUAUUGUGGUAUUUUGUUUUGUUCUCAUUUUUAUUUUCUAAUAUUUUGCUGUUACUCAUCAGUCUCCAAAUUUAAUUAUGAAAAACCUGGAACAAUCUUUUUUUCACAAUCCCCUUCCUCCCUUUCUCCCAUCUCUCAGCUUCCAGGAAUGAUGCUCCAUCCCUAACUCAAGGGCCACAUACAAUCACUGCUUUCAGUGGUAGCUGAGUUCCCUCUUCCCCUAGCAUAACUGUAAUCAAGUAGAACCCUAUGAGGACUUCCUGGAACAGACACCCCUCCCAUA